AAAGAACUCAAAAUAAGGUUGCACUUUUCUGUUGAAAAUUGAAUUAAAAUGGAAUUUAAAAAUACAAUGUUCACUAGUGACAUGAAUGAAGGAUCUGCUGAGCUGUAGCACUGAAUCUGAAGGAAGUAGUCUGUGUUACAGAACUGAACUCUGAAUAGUGCUACUUGUCUUUAACUUAUAUCUGAGAGUCCUAAGUCUGAGCAUACAAUAUCAACAAGAAAAGUGAAUAAAGUGAAUAUUCUCUUAUUUAAAUCCUAAGUAUAAAAUGGGAAUGACUAAAUUAUACCACUCUCUCUCUCUCUCCCUUUUUUUUUUUUUUUUUUUUUAAGGAAAAAAUUAUCAGGAACACAAAAUGUACUGAUAGGAAAUAUUGAAAAACAUGGAGAAAAUUAAUACUAUUUGGAACAAACUGAGAACUGCACGCGGUAUGCAUUAAAUGUAAUUUCAUUGACUGAGUCCUGCAUAUCCUAUGCAAAGAGAGUAGGAAAACCACAGUUAAUCUGAAAUAAAGCCACACAAGCUUGAAUUCAGCUGCACGGGCAGCCUUAAAUUUUGUAUUUUAGGGUACUUGACAAAAUAUUAAAUAAUGAUUUCUGACAUAAUAUUUCUUUUUUUUUUUCCUAACUGAUCUGGAAGAAUUAAAAGAUCUAUGAACACAUUGGCUAUCUGCAUUAUGGGAAUACAUGAAAGACUGUUCAGAGCAGAAGCUGUGGAGCAAGAUAAAAGGCAUGAGAAAGGAAUGCUGAAAACCAAGCACAACAAAAGCCAAGCACAGUCAUGGGGUGAGUGAAUGGCCACUAGGUGCUGAGCUGCUGCUGGGUUAAGCUAUAUUGGGCAAAUACACAUAUGUUCCUCCUCUGUUUGAAAUAACAUAAGGCACUGUUUUGUUCCCUUGAUGACAUGGCAGUUUCAUAAAGCAUAGGAUGAUGCUCUUAUAAUGAGCAACUGUAUAAUUAAUGUUCAUGGAACAAGGUGUUCAUCAGCUCCUGAGUCUUUGCUGUUCACAGAGGCAGCAGUAUGCAAGAAAACACCUACUUCAGGAAAAUUACCCACCUCUGUGAAGUAUUUGGCCCCAAGCGUUGCUAACCUAAAAAUACAUCUAGCUUAGUGUAUGGACAUCAACUUCUUUUGAAACAUCAGCUUCUAAAACUGUCUGUCCUCUGGACUUGCUAUAUUCUUCUGUUAUUUCUAUUGGUCAUAUAAUUUAUUUAUUUUCCUUUUCUUCACAAUAAAUUUUAAUUUUUUUGUAUGCUUCUGCA
RNAcentral lists this long non-coding RNA (1259 nucleotides) under Phasianus colchicus (ring-necked pheasant). Its description in RNAcentral is "lncRNA (ENSPCLG00000018724.1)". Lineage: Eukaryota; Metazoa; Chordata; Aves; Galliformes; Phasianidae. The record is from RNAcentral.